This 727-nucleotide ribosomal RNA is filed under the name uncultured bacterium. RNAcentral describes it as "bacterial SSU rRNA". It matches the Rfam family "Bacterial small subunit ribosomal RNA", at positions 140 to 853 of the family's 1533-position model. The record is from RNAcentral.
GGGAUAACACUUGGAAACAGGUGCUAAUACCGUAUAACACUAUUUUCCGCAUGGAAGAAAGUUGAAAGGCGCUUUUGCGUCACUGAUGGAUGGACCCGCGGUGCAUUAGCUAGUUGGUGAGGUAACGGCUCACCAAGGCCACGAUGCAUAGCCGACCUGAGAGGGUGAUCGGCCACACUGGGACUGAGACACGGCCCAGACUCCUACGGGAGGCAGCAGUAGGGAAUCUUCGGCAAUGGACGAAAGUCUGACCGAGCAACGCCGCGUGAGUGAAGAAGGUUUUCGGAUCGUAAAACUCUGUUGUUAGAGAAGAACAAGGAUGAGAGUAAAAUGUUCAUCCCUUGACGGUAUCUAACCAGAAAGCCACGGCUAACUACGUGCCAGCAGCCGCGGUAAUACGUAGGUGGCAAGCGUUGUCCGGAUUUAUUGGGCGUAAAGCGAGCGCAGGCGGUUUCUUAAGUCUGAUGUGAAAGCCCCCGGCUCAACCGGGGAGGGUCGUUGGAAACUGGGAGACUUGAGUGCAGAAGAGGAGAGUGGAAUUCCAUGUGUAGCGGUGAAAUGCGUAGAUAUAUGGAGGAACACCAGUGGCGAAGGCGGCUCUCUGGUCUGUAACUGACGCUGAGGCUCGAAAGCGUGGGGAGCGAACAGGAUUAGAUACCCUGGUAGUCCACGCCGUAAACGAUGAGUGCUAAGUGUUGGAGGGUUUCCGCCCUUCAGUGCUGCAGUA